GAUGAAGAACGUAGCGAAAUGCGAUACGUAAUGUGAAUUGCAGAAUUCAGUGAAUCAUCGAAUCUUUGAACGCACCUUGCGCCUUUUGGUAUUCUGAGGAGCAUGCCUGUUUGAGUGUCAUUAAAUUCUCAACCGCACUGACUUUGAAUUGGUGUGGCUUGGAUUUGGGGGGAAAAUUGUUGUGGGCUUUUUUGUAUAGUCUGCUCCCCUGAAAUUGAUUAGCGGUACCUUUGUGGAACUGUCUACAGGUGUGAUAAUUAUCUACAUCCUAGACAUCUGCUGGAAUGCUGCUUUCUAAACCUUACUUGUAUUGACAAUCUUGACCUCAAAUCAGGUAGGACUACCCGCUGAACUUAAGCAUAUCAAUAAGCGGAGGA
This 377-nucleotide unclassified non-coding RNA is filed under the name soil metagenome. RNAcentral describes it as "partial contains 5.8S ribosomal RNA, internal transcribed spacer 2, and large subunit ribosomal RNA". The stretch from base 1 to 120 matches the Rfam family "5.8S ribosomal RNA", at positions 35 to 154 of the family's 154-position model. The record is from RNAcentral.